RNAcentral lists this unclassified non-coding RNA (347 nucleotides) under soil metagenome. Its description in RNAcentral is "partial contains 5.8S ribosomal RNA, internal transcribed spacer 2, and large subunit ribosomal RNA". The stretch from base 1 to 120 matches the Rfam family "5.8S ribosomal RNA", at positions 35 to 154 of the family's 154-position model. The record is from RNAcentral.
GAUGAAGAACGUAGCGAAAUGCGAUAAGUAGUGUGAAUUGCAGAAUUCAGUGAAUCAUCGAAUCUUUGAACGCACAUUGCGCCCUCUGGUAUUCCGGAGGGCAUGCCUGUUCGAGCGUCAUUAAAACUACUCAAGCUAAGGUUUUACCUUCUGCUUGUCUUGGGUUUGAGGAUUCAAAAUCCUCUCUCCGAAAUCCAGUGGCGAAUUGUUUGAGCUGUAGACGUAGUAAAUCAUUCUACCCGUUGCAAGCGAGAAUAAUAUUCAGCCAUAACCCCCAUACUUUUCUAGUUUGACCUCGGAUCAGGUAGGGAUACCCGCUGAACUUAAGCAUAUCAAUAAGCGGAGGA